This 254-nucleotide ribosomal RNA is filed under the name uncultured bacterium. RNAcentral describes it as "partial 16S ribosomal RNA". It matches the Rfam family "Bacterial small subunit ribosomal RNA", at positions 524 to 776 of the family's 1533-position model. The record is from RNAcentral.
UACGUAGGGUGCAAGCGUUGUCCGGAAUUAUUGGGCGUAAAGAGCUCGUAGGCGGUUUGUCGCGUCUGCUGUGAAAACUCGGGGCUUAACUCCGGGCCUGCAGUGGGUACGGGCAGACUAGAGUGCGGUAGGGGAGACUGGAAUUCCUGGUGUAGCGGUGAAAUGCGCAGAUAUCAGGAGGAACACCGGUGGCGAAGGCGGGUCUCUGGGCCGUAACUGACGCUGAGGAGCGAAAGCAUGGGGAGCGAAACAGG